Molecule: non-coding RNA, 73 nt
Organism: Panthera uncia (snow leopard)
Lineage: Eukaryota; Metazoa; Chordata; Mammalia; Carnivora; Felidae
Source: the annotation of a RefSeq genome assembly
GCCUGGGUGGCUCAGUUGGUAGAGCACGUAACUCUCGAUCUCGGGGUUGUGAGUUCAAGCCCCACGUUGGGCG